Cyprinus carpio (common carp) is the source of this 1080-nucleotide long non-coding RNA. The record is from Ensembl. NCBI's taxonomy places the organism in Eukaryota, Metazoa, Chordata, Actinopteri, Cypriniformes, Cyprinidae.
CCUAUUGCCAUCAAUGUUGUUUGAGUUUAUAUUGAAAUCUUAUACUUGAUUGCAAGAGACUUAAUUAAAGUAUCCUUUUGCUUUCCAUUUAAUUGCAUUGCUGCCUAGGAGAAGUAACAGUGAUGUAAUUAUAAACAGAUCUCUUUUUUCCCUGCGGGUUUACAGCAUACCCUGAGGAAGGUGAAUCCUGUAGCAGAGCCUUAUCUCUGGAGCAGCCCAGCAGACACUGCAGCAUCAGCCUCCACAACCAUCUGCACAACAACAAGCUCAAUCAGCCGAGACUUUCUCCACUGGUUUGUGGAAUCAACCUGGUCAGUGGUACCAAUGAGGUCCAGUCUGUCUCUGACAAACACAGCUCCUUCCCAAACCCACAUCAAAAACUCAACCAGAUGUUUCAUGAAGUACCAAUAAAUCACCACGGUAAGAAAGCUAUUCUGUGUUACCUUCAUUAAUGUAAAAAAAAAAAAAAAAAAAAACUGGUGCAAGGCAUUCUUCACUCUGCUGCUUUAUACUCCCAAUAUUUCCGCAAACUGACAACUUGUUGGCACUAAUGCUGGAAUAUGCAUUAACUUUACAAAACACAGCAGCGUUAGUCAGCAAAGUAAGUCUGGGACAAAUACCUCCUUCAACCGAUUUUACAGCCUGUUUCAGGAAGGCCUUCAUUUACGGGAACAGAGCAUUUCAUGAAGAGGCUCAUUGUUGCUGUUAAAGAUUUAUAGUUGCAUUUGCUUGUUUCCCAUUGUCUACGUGGUUAGUUUAUAAUAACGAGUGGUAAUGAUUUAAAUCUGGCUCUGUUAAAUCAGUGUUCGACGACAGCUCGAAAACCACUAAAUUAGAUCAGUUAAUCAGAUCCAUGUGCAUGUUAACUGGAUCUAAGCAGGAAAAAAGAUGAUUAGACCCGUUUGUAAACAAAAUGUGAUUUUAUUUUGGAUGCUCCAUAAAUCCUUUAAUUAAAUAUUGAGGUGAUUUAAUUUUAAAAAGAUGUUUCUUCUUCUUUUCUUUUUUUAUUGGGGGAAUAUAAACUAAUAUGAAGUAUCAAACAGCAAUAAAAUGUGUUUAGCUAAUUCUGUACUUUCUGUG